Molecule: ribosomal RNA, 47 nt
Filed under: Ochrocladosporium elatum
Lineage: Eukaryota; Fungi; Ascomycota; Dothideomycetes; Pleosporales
Description: partial 28S ribosomal RNA
Source: RNAcentral
CGUCCAUUAAGCCUACACUUUUGCUCUUGACCUCGGAUCAGGUAGGA